Molecule: long non-coding RNA, 500 nt
Filed under: Homo sapiens (human)
Lineage: Eukaryota; Metazoa; Chordata; Mammalia; Primates; Hominidae
Description: novel transcript
Source: RNAcentral
AUGUUAUGCCAUGAGUCAUGGGACCAGCCUGAGUCCUGGGGGACCUCGUCUGACCACACCCUACUCCCCAAGUCCCCAGCAGUAUCAUGAGAUCCUUCUUGUUGUUUGUUAGCCUUGGACAGCUGAAGUCAGGUAUUUGCGAUCAGAAUCAUUUGGAACUUGCUGAAUUGUUUGGAAAAUCCUUCUGUAGAGGAGAAGAACUUGUUGCCUUCUGAUGAACUGCUUUAACAUUAGUGUUGCUGGGCUGUGCCUCGGUGCCUUGGGUUUCCUACAGGGUGAGUGCCCCAGAAGGAACACAGAAAGCUGGGCUGCCGCUUCAUCACGGCUUUCUCGGAAAACGGGGGCGCUGAGAAGCCCAACUUCCAGCUAUAUAUGUCGCCACCGCCCACAGGGCCCCCGACGGCGAUGCUGGUGACAGCGCUCCCUGCGUGGGCGCCACUCUCCCCGUGCUCCCCGCGCCUGCAGCCAGGCACGACGGUGUGGGUGUGCCCGCCCGGGGC